This 1395-nucleotide ribosomal RNA is filed under the name Mammaliicoccus sciuri. RNAcentral's name for it is "bacterial SSU rRNA". It matches the Rfam family "Bacterial small subunit ribosomal RNA", at positions 61 to 1436 of the family's 1533-position model. The record is from RNAcentral. Lineage: Bacteria; Bacillati; Bacillota; Bacilli; Caryophanales; Staphylococcaceae.
GUCGAGCGAACAGAUGAGAAGCUUGCUUCUCUGAUGUUAGCGGCGGACGGGUGAGUAACACGUGGGUAACCUACCUAUAAGACUGGGAUAACUCCGGGAAACCGGGGCUAAUACCGGAUAAUAUUUUGAACCGCAUGGUUCAAUAGUGAAAGACGGUUUCGGCUGUCACUUAUAGAUGGACCCGCGCCGUAUUAGCUAGUUGGUAAGGUAACGGCUUACCAAGGCGACGAUACGUAGCCGACCUGAGAGGGUGAUCGGCCACACUGGAACUGAGACACGGUCCAGACUCCUACGGGAGGCAGCAGUAGGGAAUCUUCCGCAAUGGGCGAAAGCCUGACGGAGCAACGCCGCGUGAGUGAUGAAGGUCUUCGGAUCGUAAAACUCUGUUGUUAGGGAAGAACAAAUUUGUUAGUAACUGAACAAGUCUUGACGGUACCUAACCAGAAAGCCACGGCUAACUACGUGCCAGCAGCCGCGGUAAUACGUAGGUGGCAAGCGUUAUCCGGAAUUAUUGGGCGUAAAGCGCGCGUAGGCGGUUUCUUAAGUCUGAUGUGAAAGCCCACGGCUCAACCGUGGAGGGUCAUUGGAAACUGGGAAACUUGAGUGCAGAAGAGGAGAGUGGAAUUCCAUGUGUAGCGGUGAAAUGCGCAGAGAUAUGGAGGAACACCAGUGGCGAAGGCGGCUCUCUGGUCUGUAACUGACGCUGAUGUGCGAAAGCGUGGGGAUCAAACAGGAUUAGAUACCCUGGUAGUCCACGCCGUAAACGAUGAGUGCUAAGUGUUAGGGGGUUUCCGCCCCUUAGUGCUGCAGCUAACGCAUUAAGCACUCCGCCUGGGGAGUACGACCGCAAGGUUGAAACUCAAAGGAAUUGACGGGGACCCGCACAAGCGGUGGAGCAUGUGGUUUAAUUCGAAGCAACGCGAAGAACCUUACCAAAUCUUGACAUCCUUUGACCGCUCUAGAGAUAGAGUCUUCCCCUUCGGGGGACAAAGUGACAGGUGGUGCAUGGUUGUCGUCAGCUCGUGUCGUGAGAUGUUGGGUUAAGUCCCGCAACGAGCGCAACCCUUAAGCUUAGUUGCCAUCAUUAAGUUGGGCACUCUAGGUUGACUGCCGGUGACAAACCGGAGGAAGGUGGGGAUGACGUCAAAUCAUCAUGCCCCUUAUGAUUUGGGCUACACACGUGCUACAAUGGAUAAUACAAAGGGCAGCGAAUCCGCGAGGCCAAGCAAAUCCCAUAAAAUUAUUCUCAGUUCGGAUUGUAGUCUGCAACUCGACUACAUGAAGCUGGAAUCGCUAGUAAUCGUAGAUCAGCAUGCUACGGUGAAUACGUUCCCGGGUCUUGUACACACCGCCCGUCACACCACGAGAGUUUGUAACACCCGAAGCCGGUGGAGU